GCACAUGUCCUUUCAUCUUUUUUCAGUUAUUCUUUUGAUCCUUUAUUCCUGUUUGUUUGUAGCUUUUUAAUUUCCUUUUAAGUGAUUCUGUGAGUGCCUUAUCACUGAAUCUUAGGUGAAUUAGAAGAAUUGAGUUCAAAAGUAAGAUAGUGGUUUCUUUUCUCUUAGAAGCCUAUAGCAAUCUAGUAGGUCUCAUCCUGGAUGGUUACAUUUAAGCCUCAAGUUCAUCCUGUGAGGUUUUAGUUCAUAUCUGCUAAUUAGACUUCUAGAUAUUUGAGAAAAUCCCAUCUUUUUUCUAAGUUUUGCUUUGGUUAAUUAUUCAUCAUCAAUUUUGAAGAGUAGAUGUCAAUUUUGAUGAUGGCCAUAAAGAGACCUAUCAAUGUGGCAUAUAUGUUUUUCUUGAUUCUGGGUAAAUCUCUGUAAUCAAUCUGAUGUUGGUUACACAUUUAACUGGUAUUAUUUUUCUUAGGCCCACUUAUCACACCAUGGUAUAAGUCCCAGUUAAAAAAUUGCUUAACUUUUACAAAACCUAACUGCUAGUCUAUUAUGUUGUAUAAGGCUAUAAGCUAAUAGACCCUGAUCAUUGUUGAAUAUUUUGAACUUAUCUGAAGGACAUUGAAUGCUGGUUGUGCUGGGUCACUUUUGCUUGUCUAUACAUUUAUUACCUACACUAGCUACACAAGUCUGCUUUUUCUUCGUUACAUCUGAGUGCUUCCCGUUGCUUAGGAAAAGACAUGAAAAUGAUGGUAUGAUUUUUCUUACCACCAUUGCUUAACUUUUACAAAACCUAACUGCUAGUCUAUUAUGUUGUAUAAGCUAAUAGAUGCUGAUCAUUGUUGAAUAUUUUGAACUUAUCUGAAGGACAUUGAAUGCUGGUUGUGCUGGGUCACUUUUGCUUGCCUAUACAUUUAUUACCUACACUAGCUACACAAGUCUUCUUUUUCUUCAUUACAUCUGAGUGCUUCACAUUGCUUAGGAAAAGACAUGAAAAUGGUAAAAUAAGGCUUUUCUUAGGCUUUGCAUCACACCUUGAAGAAAUUUAUUUUUCAUACAUGGAACUGAUUUUUAUAUAUAGAACUACUUACAUCUUUCAACUUUAUAUUAAGGUAUCAUUAUGCUUUGAGCCACUUGCAUGAGCUCGUUGAUUUCUCAAUAUGGUCAGAGAUUCUACACAUCAUUUGUAAGAAACUGAAAAUGUGCGAGUCUUCACAUAUCAAAGCCUCCUAAGAGUUUGCAUGCAAUCUUGCUUAAUCAUGAAAGUCUACAAAAUUUGUAAUCCAGAUUUGUUGCUUAUCACUACAUGGAUUGUUCACUUAAUUGUGUUUGUCACUCUGUUUGUCAUUAAGCCUGUAAAUCAUGCUUUGGAUGAUGAGAGACCAAGGAUUCCUAUUUCAUGACAUGGGACAAUACCAGUUCUUUGGCAGACCUGUUUGUAUUGGCCUGCUUGUUUUCCUGUGGUACAGGCCUAUUAUUAUGAGUAUAAACCAAUCACACUAGCACAGGUGGGCCUACACAGUUGACAUGGCAUCAGAUCCCUUGUCAAUUCUGUAAACUCAGUACUCUAAUAGGUUAACACCAGGGCCUGAGUGACCCAUAAGAAAGCUUGGGUGUCGGUUAUAAAGUUUGGGGAAACUUUUACCAUGACAAGCAAAAUGUCAUUGUAUUGUAGUGUAGGACUGUGGAGCUGCCGAAAUGUGGAUCUAAAUUUGCUCAGGUGCAAGGUUGUGGUUCUGUGACAGCUGAGGAAUGUUCAUGUACCUGCAAUAAAUUUUAUGAUUCUGAAGUAAUCUUGCUUGUGUACCAUAAUUAUGCUUUUCUACUUUCUGUUCUAGCAUUAUCCUGGCUCCCCUCUAAACUGCAGUACUAAGCAGUGGCUAUUUUGACAUAUCCUGAUUUCAGAGAUUCAUAAAUCAUCUUUUGGGCUUGUAUAUUGUGUUUUCUGAAAUUUCCCAUGAAUCCUGAUAUACAGAAUUCUUUUCAGCAUUCUUUGUAAAACAUCUCAAUCAGAAAAUUGCGAUGUGCUGAGUAAUCUACCACCUAUGAGAAAGUCACUGAUGUUUUCUCUAUUCAUUUUUAGAAUAUACUCAUGUAUGCUGCUCUUGCUGUCUCAGAUUAAUUUGACAGUUAACAUGUAUAAUACUUCUUAAUUCAGUUUUUGGAUUGACCAGGAA
This 2171-nucleotide long non-coding RNA is filed under the name Musa acuminata (dwarf banana). RNAcentral describes it as "long non-coding RNA (MACU_LNC001523)". The record is from RNAcentral. Lineage: Eukaryota; Viridiplantae; Streptophyta; Magnoliopsida; Zingiberales; Musaceae.